This 301-nucleotide ribosomal RNA is filed under the name uncultured bacterium. RNAcentral describes it as "partial 16S ribosomal RNA". It matches the Rfam family "Bacterial small subunit ribosomal RNA", at positions 509 to 807 of the family's 1533-position model. The record is from RNAcentral.
CAGUAGCCGCGGGAAUACGAAGGGUGCAAGCGUUAAUCGGAAUUACUGGGCGUAAAGCGUGCGUAGGCGGUGAGUUAAGUCUGCUGCGAAAUCCCCGGGCUCAACCUGGGAAUGGCAGUGGAUACUGGCUCGCUAGAGUGUGUCAGAGGAUGGUGGAAUUCCCGGUGUAGCGGUAAAAUGCGUAGAGAUCGGGAGGAACAUCAGUGGCGAAGGCGGCCAUCUGGGACAACACUGACGCUGAGGCACGAAAGCGUGGGGAGCAAACAGGAUUAGAUACCCGCGUAGUCCCUGUCUCUUAUAC